Long non-coding RNA from Haliotis rubra (blacklip abalone), 194 nucleotides. RefSeq lists it as uncharacterized. The transcript is spliced from 3 exons. The record is from RefSeq and is a predicted model, not a curated record. NCBI's taxonomy places the organism in Eukaryota, Metazoa, Mollusca, Gastropoda, Lepetellida, Haliotidae.
UAUCAAAUGAACUUUAUCACGUUAAUACUUAGUGUACAUGUUUUAUAUGGGUACACCUAUAGAGAAUGCACAACUCGUUCUCGUCAGAUUCCAUUUUAAAAUGAUCCAUAAUCGGAAAUAUCGUCUAUAGGAAAGAUUAUUAAUGAUUGUCGAUAUGGAAAGUGUGUUAUCGAUAAUAUCCCAUAUCAGCUUUG